RNAcentral lists this ribosomal RNA (1262 nucleotides) under Escherichia coli. Its description in RNAcentral is "partial 23S ribosomal RNA". It matches the Rfam family "Bacterial large subunit ribosomal RNA", at positions 1555 to 2798 of the family's 2925-position model. The record is from RNAcentral. Lineage: Bacteria; Pseudomonadati; Pseudomonadota; Gammaproteobacteria; Enterobacterales; Enterobacteriaceae.
GCUGAGGCGUGAUGACGAGGCACUACGGUGCUGAAGCAACAAAUGCCCUGCUUCCAGGAAAAGCCUCUAAGCAUCAGGUAACAUCAAAUCGUACCCCAAACCGACACAGGUGGUCAGGUAGAGAAUACCAAGGCGCUUGAGAGAACUCGGGUGAAGGAACUAGGCAAAAUGGUGCCGUAACUUCGGGAGAAGGCACGCUGAUAUGUAGGUGAAGUCCCUCGCGGAUGGAGCUGAAAUCAGUCGAAGAUACCAGCUGGCUGCAACUGUUUAUUAAAAACACAGCACUGUGCAAACACGAAAGUGGACGUAUACGGUGUGACGCCUGCCCGGUGCCGGAAGGUUAAUUGAUGGGGUCAGCGCAAGCGAAGCUCUUGAUCGAAGCCCCGGUAAACGGCGGCCGUAACUAUAACGGUCCUAAGGUAGCGAAAUUCCUUGUCGGGUAAGUUCCGACCUGCACGAAUGGCGUAAUGAUGGCCAGGCUGUCUCCACCCGAGACUCAGUGAAAUUGAACUCGCUGUGAAGAUGCAGUGUACCCGCGGCAAGACGGAAAGACCCCGUGAACCUUUACUAUAGCUUGACACUGAACAUUGAGCCUUGAUGUGUAGGAUAGGUGGGAGGCUUAGAAGUGUGGACGCCAGUCUGCAUGGAGCCGACCUUGAAAUACCACCCUUUAAUGUUUGAUGUUCUAACGUUGACCCGUGAUCCGGGUUGCGGACAGUGUCUGGUGGGUAGUUUGACUGGGGCGGUCUCCUCCUAAAGAGUAACGGAGGAGCACGAAGGUUGGCUAAUCCUGGUCGGACAUCAGGAGGUUAGUGCAAUGGCAUAAGCCAGCUUGACUGCGAGCGUGACGGCGCGAGCAGGUGCGAAAGCAGGUCAUAGUGAUCCGGUGGUUCUGAAUGGAAGGGCCAUCGCUCAACGGAUAAAAGGUACUCCGGGGAUAACAGGCUGAUACCGCCCAAGAGUUCAUAUCGACGGCGGUGUUUGGCACCUCGAUGUCGGCUCAUCACAUCCUGGGGCUGAAGUAGGUCCCAAGGGUAUGGCUGUUCGCCAUUUAAAGUGGUACGCGAGCUGGGUUUAGAACGUCGUGAGACAGUUCGGUCCCUAUCUGCCGUGGGCGCUGGAGAACUGAGGGGGGCUGCUCCUAGUACGAGAGGACCGGAGUGGACGCAUCACUGGUGUUCGGGUUGUCAUGCCAAUGGCACUGCCCGGUAGCUAAAUGCGGAAGAGAUAAGUGCUGAAAGCAUCUAAGCACGAAACUUGCC